RNAcentral lists this ribosomal RNA (429 nucleotides) under Chloroflexota bacterium. RNAcentral describes it as "Chloroflexi bacterium partial 16S ribosomal RNA". It matches the Rfam family "Bacterial small subunit ribosomal RNA", at positions 355 to 776 of the family's 1533-position model. The record is from RNAcentral. Lineage: Bacteria; Bacillati; Chloroflexota.
UGGGGAAUAUUGCACAAUGGGCGCAAGCCUGAUGCAGCCAUGCCGCGUGUGUGAAGAAGUCCUUCGGGUUGUAAAGCACUUUCAGCGGGGAGGAAGGCGUUAAGGUUAAUAACCUUGGCGAUUGACGUUACCCGCAGAAGAAGCACCGGCUAACUCCGUGCCAGCAGCCGCGGUAAUACGGAGGGUGCAAGCGUUAAUCGGAAUUACUGGGCGUAAAGCGCACGCAGGCGGUCUGUCAAGUCGGAUGUGAAAUCCCCGGGCUCAACCUGGGAACUGCAUUCGAAACUGGCAGGCUAGAGUCUUGUAGAGGGGGGUAGAAUUCCAGGUGUAGCGGUGAAAUGCGUAGAGAUCUGGAGGAAUACCGGUGGCGAAGGCGGCCCCCUGGACAAAGACUGACGCUCAGGUGCGAAAGCGUGGGGAGCAAACAGG